This 459-nucleotide ribosomal RNA is filed under the name uncultured bacterium. Its description in RNAcentral is "partial 16S ribosomal RNA". It matches the Rfam family "Bacterial small subunit ribosomal RNA", at positions 338 to 795 of the family's 1533-position model. The record is from RNAcentral.
CCUACGGGUGGCAGCAGUGAGGAAUAUUGGUCAAUGGGCGCGAGCCUGAACCCGCCAAGUCGCGUGAGGGAAGACGGUCCUAUGGAUUGUAAACCUCUUUUGUCGGGGAGCAAAAGACGCCACGCGUGGCGUUCCGAGAGUACCCGAAGAAAAAGCAUCGGCUAACUCCGUGCCAGCAGCAGCGGUAAUACGGAGGAUGCGAGCGUUAUCCGGAUUUAUUGGGGUUAAAGUGUGCGCAGGCGGAAGAUCAAGUCAGCGGUAAAAUUGGGAGGCUCAACCUCUUCGAGCCGUUGAAACUGGUUGUCUUGAGUGAGCGAGAAGUAUGCGGAAUGCGUGGUGUAGCGGUGAAAUGCAUAGAUAUCACGCAGAACUCCGAUUGCGAAGGCAGCAUACCGGCGCUCAACUGACGCUCAUGCACGAAAGUGUGGGUAUCGAACAGGAUUAGAUACCCUUGUAGUC